This is an RNA transcript of Homo sapiens (human), 2584 nucleotides long. It is a transcript of the gene named Rho guanine nucleotide exchange factor 25, with no coding region annotated. The record is from RefSeq and is marked reviewed. Lineage: Eukaryota; Metazoa; Chordata; Mammalia; Primates; Hominidae. The transcript has 16 exons.
AUUCAGCUCUCCGCUCCGCUGGGACCCGCACAGCGCCAGUGGCUCGGGGGUCGGCCCUCGCCUCCUCCCCGGCCCGGGCCUAGAGCCACCCCUAACCAGAGGCCGGAGACAGCUGGAGCGGCUGCCGCAUCCCGGCCCAGCCUCCCCUACCAUCCCUCCCCCUUCCACUGGACAUCUGGACCCUAGGCCCCCGCACCGACAGGGUUCCGGAAACCCUCCCCGCCCAGCCCGGCGGCCGGGCCCCGCGCCUCUCUCUCUCUAGAGCCCCCAGCCCUCCUCAAGACUAGACUUCCGCCUACCCCUGGACACCUCCUCCCGGUCCCCUCCCUCCCCCCCUCCCACAGCCUGGACCGGGGUAGGAGGGAGGGGGGGUGUGCGCCCGGCGCCGUCCCCGCCCCGCCCCCCGUGAUUCCCCCUGCAUGGCCGGCCCGGGUGGGGGGCGCGGGGGGGCCCGGGCGCCAUGCGGGGGGGGCACAAAGGGGGUCGCUGUGCCUGUCCCCGUGUGAUCCGAAAAGUGCUGGCAAAAUGCGGCUGCUGCUUCGCCCGGGGGGGACGUGGGGUGCCCUGGUGAAAUUUUCUAUCCUGGCCAACUCAAAUGAGGAUGGCAAGAGAGUGAGCCCUUGGAGAGAGAGGCUGAGCAUCAUGAAGAGAAGACCCUGGGAGUUCCCUGGGGACCCUGAGUCUGGAGCUGGGGCAAGGCCCCCCAGGGCCCGUCAGUGGCCUGAGGAGAUGGUUGGAUCAUUCCAAACAUUGUCUCAGUGUGGAAACUGAGGCAGACAGUGGUCAGGCAGGACCAUAUGAGAACUGGAUGUUGGAGCCAGCUCUAGCCACAGGAGAGGAGCUGCCGGAACUGACCUUGCUGACCACACUGUUGGAGGGCCCUGGAGAUAAGACGCAGCCACCUGAAGAGGAGACUUUGUCCCAAGCCCCUGAGAGUGAGGAGGAACAGAAGAAGAAGGCUCUGGAAAGGAGUAUGUAUGUCCUGAGUGAACUGGUAGAAACAGAGAAAAUGUACGUGGACGACUUGGGGCAGAUUGUGGAGGGUUAUAUGGCCACCAUGGCUGCUCAGGGGGUCCCCGAGAGUCUUCGAGGCCGUGACAGGAUUGUGUUUGGGAAUAUCCAGCAAAUCUAUGAGUGGCACCGAGACUAUUUCUUGCAAGAGCUACAACGGUGUCUGAAAGAUCCUGAUUGGCUGGCUCAGCUAUUCAUCAAACACGAGCGCCGGCUGCAUAUGUAUGUGGUGUACUGUCAGAAUAAGCCCAAGUCAGAGCAUGUGGUGUCAGAGUUUGGGGACAGCUACUUUGAGGAGCUCCGGCAGCAGCUGGGGCACCGCCUGCAGCUGAACGACCUCCUCAUCAAACCUGUGCAGCGGAUCAUGAAAUACCAGCUGCUGCUCAAGGAUUUUCUCAAGUAUUACAAUAGAGCUGGGAUGGAUACUGCAGACCUAGAGCAAGCUGUGGAGGUCAUGUGCUUUGUGCCCAAGCGCUGCAACGAUAUGAUGACGCUGGGGAGAUUGCGGGGAUUUGAGGGCAAACUGACUGCUCAGGGGAAGCUCUUGGGCCAGGACACUUUCUGGGUCACCGAGCCUGAGGCUGGAGGGCUGCUGUCUUCCCGAGGUCGAGAGAGGCGCGUCUUCCUCUUUGAGCAAAUCAUCAUCUUCAGUGAAGCCCUGGGAGGAGGAGUGAGAGGUGGAACACAGCCUGGAUAUGUAUACAAGAACAGCAUUAAGGUGAGCUGCCUGGGACUGGAGGGGAACCUCCAAGGUGACCCUUGCCGCUUUGCACUGACCUCCAGAGGGCCAGAGGGUGGGAUCCAGCGCUAUGUCCUGCAGGCUGCAGACCCUGCUAUCAGUCAGGCCUGGAUCAAGCAUGUGGCUCAGAUCUUGGAGAGCCAACGGGACUUCCUCAACGCAUUGCAGUCACCCAUUGAGUACCAGAGACGGGAGAGCCAGACCAACAGCCUGGGGCGGCCAAGAGGGCCUGGAGUGGGGAGCCCUGGAAGAAUUCAGCUUGGAGAUCAGGCCCAGGGCAGCACACACACACCCAUCAAUGGCUCUCUCCCCUCUCUGCUGCUGUCACCCAAAGGGGAGGUGGCCAGAGCCCUCUUGCCACUGGAUAAACAGGCCCUUGGUGACAUCCCCCAGGCUCCCCAUGACUCUCCUCCAGUCUCUCCAACUCCAAAAACCCCUCCCUGCCAAGCCAGACUUGCCAAGCUGGAUGAAGAUGAGCUGUAACUGGUGAAAACCAUGGGGGUGGUGCUGACUCAGCCGCCUAUUCCCCAAGGAGCUUCAGGGCAGUCCUUCUGGCACUGCUCCAGAAUUCCUCCUUCUUGGUGUGUCUGGAGGGUGGGCAAGGCUGGGAGGGAUAUCAACUUGGAGGAGAACACCUAGACCCAAGGACUUUUUUCUGCCCAAGGAACACAGUUUCCUUCAGCUCCCAUCCCUAUGCAUGCAUCAUGGUCCCCCCAAAAGGAGGAUAUGUGGGUGGGUGGGAGGGCUGGGGCAGGGGCCAGAUAGAAAUUAUUGGUUUUGUUUUUUAAUUUUGUUUUUCCUGUUUUCUGAGAAUAAAGGUUUUGUUAUAUCACC